This 253-nucleotide ribosomal RNA is filed under the name uncultured bacterium. Its description in RNAcentral is "partial 16S ribosomal RNA". It matches the Rfam family "Bacterial small subunit ribosomal RNA", at positions 524 to 776 of the family's 1533-position model. The record is from RNAcentral.
UACAGAGGUCCCAAGCGUUGUUCGGAUUUACUGGGCGUAAAGGGUGCGUAGGUGGCGAGGUAAGUUCGAUGUGAAAUCUCCGAGCUCAACUCGGAAAUGGCAUUGAAUACUAUCCCGCUUGAGGGUCGGAGGGGAGACUGGAAUUCUCGGUGUAGCAGUGAAAUGCGUAGAUAUCGAGAGGAACACCAGAGGCGAAGGCGAGUCUCUGGACGACUCCUGACACUGAGGCACGAAAGCUGGGGGAGCAAACAGG